CCCAAACCCACUCAACAUUUGGUCUAGGUUUGGCCGUCUCUCGCUGACGUCAGACGCCGGCGAGAGGGCGCCUGAGCGGCCGGGGCCGGCGUGGGAGCGGAUAUAGAUGCGCUGCGCUGGGGGAGUCAGAGCGAGCGUCGCGGAGGGUUUGGAAGCGGGUGGGUGCGCGGAGUGCCAGCGCGGCGCGGCCUAGCCCUAGUUCAGUGCGAAUCGUGGUGCGCCGGCGAGAGCGAAAGCGGCAGCGGCCCUUACCCCUCGUGCCGCCCGCUCCAGUGGGCGCGGCUGAAGGGGCUCCCGAAGCAGAAGCCGCAGCGGUGGAGGCGGAUGGUCUAACUCCCCCGUUCUUUACUUCCACCGUUUCCGCUAUCGUAUACCCUACAUAAAUGUCUAUUGUUUCUUGCACAGGAUCUGCCUAGGAGACCUCUUCAACGUCAACUAGUAAUGGUAGCUAUGUUCCUUCUGUAACUCGAGUACCGGUUCAACCCAAAACCACGAAUAUCUAAAAGGUAUAGAACCAGUGCCUAUAAAGGACUACCGAAUCCCUGUCUUUAGUUACUCGUUCCUCAACGAAAGAUAUUGUUGGAAUAUCUAAAGUACUAACUCUUUCCAUAAGUCGGAAUACGUUGAGACAUAGUGACCCUAGAAGGCGUAUUAGAAGUCUUCUGAUACCCCCCAACCGAAAGACUGUUCUAACAUCUCAUGAAGCGUAAUAUACGUCUUCGAACGAAACGUUUAAAACCUCUAUCUCAAUUCGUAACCUAUUGUUAGUUACUUGGAUAAGUUUGUACGUAAUUACGAAUACCCCAACCUUAUAAACGAGGACCUAAUACAUUUCCACAUCGACGACUUGGAAAGAACCGACCGGUAGUGGUCUAGAAUCGAGUACGACGACGACAACUACAGAUGUCUUCUUUUAAGUUCCGAUUUGUUCCACCAGUUCAUCCUAAACAAUAACUAACACUUACCCGCCUCGGUUUCAGCCUGUUUUACCUUCUGGUCCGACGACGUCGUGCCGCGUAACUGAAAGUUGAACCUACCAAGGACCUGGGUUAUAUGAAACCACUAAUGGGUCUUUCGUACGCGGUCUCUCACCCGCUUAUAGAAGGUUUUAAGAGACUCUUUCUGGCACUUAACUACUCCUUGUUUUAACUAAAAUAACCUAAUUUAGUGAUAUGUAGUUCUUAGUAACCGUUAGUCGGCUUGGGUGUUGGUGUUCUCUAGGUAAAAAUAGUCCAAGUUGUUUAUCUCUCUUGUCUGUUUACCUCAUCGCCACUUCGUUAACCACUUUCUCGACGCAGACUCACCGAAAAUUAUCAAGGGACCCCAUAAGCCUUUUGUUAGUUAAUAUAUCAUUUCUUUAUACUUUUAGGUUAUUAUAUACAUUGUCUCUUACCGUACCUACUGCUUCUGCUAGGUAGUCGUGGUCAACUAGUCAAGAAUUUACUGUGUUUCUCCCAAUUAAAGAAGUUUCCUAUACAACCACGUCAGCGUGUUCGUUAUUUCCUACCGCGGCUGCAAGCACCUAUGAAACGUACCAGUAAGGACCUAUUGAAACUCACCCGCUACCCUAAGUGGUUCUCCAAACCCUAACAGAUACAACUAAUGUUCUUGCCCGAGUGGGCUGUGGGAUUUCGUAGUCGGUACACCAAGAGUGCGAAGAACUUGCCGCUCUGGCGACUGUCGUUUGGACUGUGUUUGAUUCGGGGAGUAAGUGGUUCCCUACCGUGACUACAAGCGCCCAUCAAGCCUACCGGUAAGGACCCGUUGAAACUCACCCGAUGUAUGUCAUAUGUGGUGCUCUCCAAACCAUGUUCCUACUCGUAACCCCUGUAAGGCUUCGUGGUCGGGUCAUGCACCGAGAGUGUGGGCAGCUUCUGGUUGUGCCGCGCUCGACUCGGUAGAGUGUCGUUCAUUUACUUUGUAAUAUGCUCAACAACAACAACGACGACAACAACAUAGCAUGGUGCUGACGGUAGAUGAGUUUUAUUAUUAGCAUCGGGUAGAGUCUAUGUGAAGAUAUGCCCGGUGCUAAUCAGGUAACUAACAAGUUUACCUACAAAUUCCCCGGUCUCAAGGGACGAUUAUUUAAUAUGCUCAAGUACAGUCGGUUGGGACAAUCUGUUGCGACGGAUACAUACAAACGAUGAGACGACGACGACAUAAUCAGGACAUUACAGACCGGAAGUAUCGGGGAGGAUCCUUCGUUAACGAUCGGUGGUCUUUAAACAAAGACAAGACGACCUCAAGAAGUAAUCUCCUUGAACGAAGACUGUCCAAUCUGGGUGGCUCUUGGUGAAACUUGAAACCUACUAACCACUUCUCGUUUCACUGUACAGUGUAUGUCAUUUUAUUUCUCCACCAAUUUC
RNAcentral lists this ribosomal RNA (2366 nucleotides) under Triticum aestivum (bread wheat). RNAcentral describes it as "partial small subunit ribosomal RNA". Lineage: Eukaryota; Viridiplantae; Streptophyta; Magnoliopsida; Poales; Poaceae. The record is from RNAcentral.